Long non-coding RNA from Pipistrellus kuhlii (Kuhl's pipistrelle), 692 nucleotides. RefSeq lists it as uncharacterized. Lineage: Eukaryota; Metazoa; Chordata; Mammalia; Chiroptera; Vespertilionidae. The transcript has 2 exons. The record is from RefSeq and is a predicted model, not a curated record.
AAUAUAGCCACUGGAAGGAAGUACUCUGGGAGUUAUGGCUUUCUUUCAUCAGAAAGCAGUUUCAAAGGAUGGAAAAAUAAAACUAUUAGUGAUAUGAAACAAUUUUAUGAGUUUAGACUGAAAAGUUCCUACCUCUUGUCAGUAAGGAAGAGAAUUAGGAAAGGAUAGCAUCUGCGGCCAGUUUAGCAUGAUGUCAUGGGUGCGGUAGGUGUGCUAUUCACCAAAAUAGCAUCCAAAACUAGGAAGUACCUUUCAGCCCAUUUUACUACAUUAUCCUUAUGUUUGUGAAAAGUCAAUUUAAAGUUCUUUUGAACCCACUUAAUCUCCUAAUGCCUCCUAAACUAUUUUCUGAGUGUAAUAUUAAUCUUCAGUCAUUUCUGCAGUGUCGGCCUUGAGAUAGAUUGAGCCACUGGAUUUUUCUGAGUGGUCAUCUGUCAGUGUAGCUUAAACAACAACAAAUACAAUUUCUCAAGAAUAGUCACACAGUAUCAUAUACUCUUAGAUAUCCUCUCAAAUCCUAUCAAAUCUCAAAAGUUUAUAUGUAACUAAACAUGAUGUAACCUAUUCAGUCCUUGGUCUUGUCUGUAAUGUGAAGGUUGUUAAAGGUGGUUCUUUUGUCUUUAUUUCAUAAAUUGUGUUAAUUCUUGACACUGGGGUGAAUUUGCCAAAUGAAUGUAAAUCCAUUCUUUUCC